GAAACAUCCCAUAAUGAAUAUUUUAACUCAAUUCUUGGAAAUUUAUUUUUCAUAUUUUUCAUUUGCUCACUGUCCCCCAGGAACCCUGUUGUUGCCUUUAACCAUGUUUCCUCAGCGUACAAGUGUAAAAUCCCUUUCAUCCAUUACCAUGGGAACAACCAACGAACUUUCAGCACAACACAGAGACAGAUAGAAACCAGAGAUGCCUGAGUCUGCAGACAUUCCUGCUCAGUGCCAAGUCCUCAAAGAAGACGUGGACAAAUGUGUCCAAGGGAAGGGUGCCGAGGCCUGUAAGGAGCUGAUGGAAGCUUUCGAGGCCUGUGUGAAAAGCGCUGUGCAAACUUCAUGAGCAGAAAGCUUCAGGUUCAUAUCUAAGGUUCUCCUUCUUCGGGUCCUUCAGUACACCUGCAUUCCUACUGUUUUUUGGGUUUGACUGAACCAUUACAUCGACUGGCCAGGGGUGUCGGUACUGCUGAAUUCCUGGAUUUGCCAUGUCUGGAUCAGAGAUGCUGCUGAUAUUAUUGUCAUAUGUCCAACGCAAAUGUAGCAUCAAGAGCCCACAGGAUUUAGAUCCAUUAUGUCAGAAGAAGUAUUUCUUUAUCUAAGAAAAAUGCAGUCAAUAUAAAUUAUUUUUGAAUAAAAUAUACUUUAAUUAUUG
Long non-coding RNA from Ictalurus punctatus (channel catfish), 658 nucleotides. Lineage: Eukaryota; Metazoa; Chordata; Actinopteri; Siluriformes; Ictaluridae. The record is from Ensembl.